UUCCUGGGCUCCAGCUGCGCAGUCCAGAGUUGUGAGCGUUAAGGAGGGUGCGCAUCUAGGUGGGAUGGAGUCCGGGGACAGUUUCCUUGAAAGCUGGCAAAAAUCCAGGGACCUGCAGGACGAGAGCGGAGAGCCUGGGGCGGAGGGGGUCCAAGCUCUAGCCCAGGUGUGGAGGCACUUAGUUUGCAGUCCCAACUGAGUGCUCAGGAGGUAAGGAUCCAUUGUCCGGCUAGACGAGAGGAUUUUAAUCAGUGCUGACCACACGGCCUUGUUUUUAAACUUCGAUCGUCUGAGUCGGGAGACAAACAAGCUCGCGCAGGUUCCGAAGUCCUGACUGACAGCUGCUCGGUCCUCUGUUUAAAAAACACGACGUUGUUUGCACUGGCAGUCUUACAUAAACUUCAUAGCGCUGAGAGGCCAGCGUAGUUAACCCUAUUAAGGAUAACAAGCUAGGCCGGGUGGGUGGAGGGACGUGCUCAGGCUACCAGCCAGUGUUGAGGAAGCGCUGAUUCAGAGGUAGGUGUGACUCGCUUCCUGUCUCUGGCACUAAUCCUGCACCUGCCUCAAGUCAGCAUCUGCGCCUUCAUAGUGACCUGUCCACCUGUAGGCCCGCAUAGCAGAUGUUUUCUAAGAAUUGUGGUAUGUCCUGUCGGCUCCUUAGCUGAGACAGGUUGCUCCCUCUAAUCAGUACCGUGCAAGGACGCGUUUUCUCAGUCUCAUAUAGGAAUCAAGGUCCGGUUUGUGAUACUAAAAUUAGUUUUCUUGGCCCAAGUUUUAGCUUCUGGUAACCAGAGUAUUGAGAGUGUUGAGCUGUGAAUUAGGAAGUAGGGAGCCGAGGGGAUGAGACUUUUUUUUCCCAGAAGUGAAAGUGGCCUUCUGACCUUAGACCUCUCUGACAAACAGAAGUCGGAGUUGGCAGCGUUACUGGGUUUUGCUUUGUUUUUCGAUGAUCUUGCUUCGAAUCCCAGUCUGGCCUCAAGCUUGCAGUCUCCAAGUGCUGAGAUUACAGGUGUGUGCCAUCACGCCUGGUGUCCAUGGUCGUUACUUCUGGCCUUGAGAGUAUGAGUGAGUGUCCGGAACAAGGUAGUUGGCAAAUGCCCCAGGAAUCAGAGCCUGGCGCAGGCAUUGAUCUUACAUUUUAGUUCAUUGUUCCUGAUGGUUGGAGAUCAUCACAUGGCUAAUCAACAAUCUAGUCAUAUGUUUGUAGGUGAAUUCCACCCGUAAAUAUUGACUGUCUUCAUUCUCUUAAGAUUUACAACCAGUCAUCUUGCUGGCCCAGGCUUGAGGUCUUUACAUUCAAUAACCUCAUUAUUUCUUCUUUUUACAUCUGAUCCACUUUACAUUAGGCUUCUGAAAGCAUUUCAGUUUGGUUUAAAUAUGCCUUCUCCUAAUGUUUUGUAAUAAUGUUUAAUAAUGUUCUUUUUGUUGGGGGCUGGAAAGAUGGCUCAGCAGUUAAGACCACUGUCUGCUUUUCCAGAGGUCCUGAGUUCAAUUCCUAACAACCACAUGGUGGCUCCCAACCGUCUAUGUUCUCUCCUACCCUCUUCACAUGUAAAUAGAGCACUCAGAUACAUUAAAUAAAUAAGUAAAUAAUUUUUUAAAGAAAAUUGUAUGUGUGAAGGUGUCAGAUCCCUUGGAAUUGGCAGUAUACAUCUGCGAGCUGCCAUGUGGGUGCUGGGAAUUGAACCCAGGUCCUUUGGAAGAGCAGACGGUGCUCUUAACCACUGAGCCAUCUAAUAAUGUUUUUUGUUUGGGAGAAGUGCCUGUUCAACUCUUCCUCCCCUCCCCCAUAUUUAUUACUGAUUUAGAGAGUUCUGUAUUCUAUAGAAUAUUCCUUUGGGGAUUUGUGACUAUGUUUUUCUUCAUAGACUUCCUUCUUUCCUUCUUUCCUUAAAUAGGCUCUCACUAUGUUACUCUGAUAUCAAACUUAUUGUCUUCCCUCUUAGUUCUGAGUCCAAAGGCUUAUGGGUAUGUGCUAUUACACCCAGUUUGUUCUAUUGUUGUUUGUUUGUUUGUUUGUUUGAGACAGAGUCUCACUAUAUAGCCCCGGUUGGCCUGAAACUCACUAUGUAGGCCAGUCUGGCCUCGAACUCACCAAGAUCUGCCUGCCCCUGCCUCCCAAGUGCUGGGAUCAAAGGUGUGCGCCACCAAGCUGGCACUUUUUCUGGUUUUAAUAGAUUUUAUGUAGAUCAAUUUUUCAUCUUUUUUUUUUUUUUUCUCUUAUGACUAUUAGUCUGCUCAGGUCACCAAAACAAAAUACCACCCAGAUGGCUUAAACAACAGAAAUUUAUGUUGUUAGUUUGGGAGGCUGGACUUCUUUCUGGUGGGCUGUGUCCUGGCUUUUAUGCUGCUGCCUUGUGCCUGUGUGCUCACAUGACCUUUCUGUUCUCACAGGGAGCGAGAAGGAGAAGACAGAGACAAAGGGAGUACUCUCUGGUCUCUCUCUCUUCUUAAAAGGAUGCCAAUCCAUCCAGCUACCAUGUGGCUUCAUUAGCCUUAAUUACUCAUAAACCUCUCCACAAAUAGAGUCACACAAGGGAUUAGGGUUCCAAAAUAUAAAUCUUACGAGCAUCUAUAAUAACAACUCCUUCAAAAGGAGGCAAGAGUUUGAAGUUGUCGUUUCUACAGAAAAGAUACACAGAUGACUAAUCAGCUCAUUAAAAGUGUUCAAAACUGCUAACCCUUAAAGGAAUACAACCCAAACCACAUCGAGAUGCCCCCUCAAAUCCAUUAGGAUUCCUGUAGGAAGAAGCAAAACAGAAACUGAAGUGCUGUGGGGAUGAGAAGAAAUGAAAACCUCUUUGCACUGCUGGGAAUAUAAAGCAGCAGCUGCUGUGGGCACCCGAGGCAGUGCCCGCAGGAAAGGAAACCUCUGCAGCAGUCAGUUCACAAGUACAGAUGGUCUCCAUUUUAGCAGUUCUAAUUCCAAUUUUAAAAUUUUUAUAGUGCUUCAAAAGUGGUGCACAUUCAAUUUGUAUGUGGUGGUGGUGGAAGUGUGUUUAUAUGUACACGUUUGUGUGUGUAUGUGCACACAUGCGCUAGCCAGAGGCUGACAUCAGCAUCGGAGCAUCUACCUUUAUUUAUUCAUAUUAAUUAUAUUAUUUAUAUUAUGUUAAGUGUUUCUUUGAGACAGGGUUUCUCUGUGUAGCCCUGACUGUCCUGGACUCACUUCGUAGACCAGGCUGGCCUUGAACUCACAGCGAUCUGCCUGCCUCUGCCUCCCUGAGCUAAGGACUGUAAAGGUGUGCGCCCCUAUACCCAGCUUCACCUUUAUUUAUUAUUUAUUUAUUUUUAAGUGAAUUCUGGCAAUCCAGAAGUUAGGUCUUUAUACUUAGGUGGUAUGCACUUUACUUACUGAGCCAUCUUCUCAGUCCCAGAAACUAUACUUUGGUUUUAACUUUGAUUCUCAUCCUGGGCUAACCGUAUGUGAACUAUGUGGAAUGAUACUCUGUUGUGAUGCUGGGAGGAGGAGGCAGAAAGCUGUGUCCCUAAUCAGCCACAGAAUCCUAAAGAUAAGAGCAAUCAUGAUACUUUCCAGUGGAAUGUGUCUGAUAAAUUAUAUGUGAUACUUGUCACCUCAUUGUACUUUGUGUUUGAUUAUUUUACUGCUCUAUUAGAUAACAUAUGUAUUCUGAAGCAUAUUUCAAGAAGGCUAGGGCCAAGAGAGGGCUCAGCAGAUAAGAGCACUUGCUGCCAAAAAUGAUUACCUGAGUUCAAUCCUGACGACCCAUAUGAUAGGAGAGAUGGCCUCUAACCUCCAAAUGCAUGCUGUAGUGGACAUGCCCACACAAAUACAUAGAUACACACAAUAAUAAAUAUAGCUUGUCUAAUGGUAAUACUAAUGUAGGCUAGACUAAGCUAUGAUGUUUGAUGGGUUCCAAGUAUUAAGUGUGAUUUUGACAUAUAGUAUUUCAACUUAUGAUAGUUUUUUUCAGAACAUAACCACAAGUCAAAAAGCAUCUGUAUGUACCCAAAGGAACUGAAAGCAAGGACUGAAAUAGUUUCUUCUGUCCCAUGCCUAUAACAGCAUUGCUUACAAUACAAGUGACCAUCAACACAAAUAGAUUUUGUUGUUGUUGUUUCAAGACAGGGUUUCACUGUGUGUGUUCCUAGCUGUCCUGGAACUCACUCUGUAAACCAGGCUGGCUUUAAACCCAGAGAUCUGCCUCUGCUUCCCAAGUGCUGGAAUUAAAGAUGUGUGCUACCACCACUUGGCUAUAGAUUUUUUUUUCCAGUGGCGCAUACAUAUCAUGAUGUGUCAUUGACCCUUAAAAGGGAUGAAAUUCUGACACAUUCCACAAUUCUGAAAACACACUAAGUGAAAUAAACAGAUAAGUGUUGUAUGAUUCAUUGGUAUGAAAUACCUAGAUUAUGAAAAUGCCAGUCAGAAAGGGGAGCUCACAGGGCCUAGAGAAAGAGAUCAUGGGGAAUUAUUAUUUGCUGUAACAUUUCUGUUCCGGGAGAUUUAAAAAAGACAUAUCUGGAAAUGUUUAGAGAGAAGCUCUUAUGUACUGUAUGGAAGCAUCACCUGUCAAUAAAACCCUGAUGGCCUGUUAGCUGAGGCAGGAAAUAGGAGGUGGGAGUUAUAGGAGAGAGAGAUGAGCUCUGGGAUAGAGUCAAAAGAGAUUCAUCCCAGACUCUGAGGAAGAUGGACACAUGGAACGAGGAGAGGUAACCAGCCAUGUUGUACGCUCAGAAUAGAAAAACAGAUAAAAUAAGUUAGGAGCUGGUUGUGGAACAAGCCAAAGCUUGUGGACUAGGCAUUCAUUCAUAAACAGUAAAGUCUCAGCGUCAUUAUUUUUGGGAACUGAGAUGUGGAGGGAAUAGCAACGCUGUUACAGAAAUGGAACUAGAGAGAUGGCUCAGUGGUUAAGAGCACUGGCUGUUCUUCCAGAUGAUCUAGAUGCAAUUCCCAGUACCCACAUGGCUAAUCACAACCACCUGUAACUCCAGUUCCAGCGGGAUCCAAUACCUUUUUCCACCUCCACAUUCACCAGGUACUCGGAUGGCAAAUAUACAUACAUGCAAUGAAACACAUAAAAAAUAAUAACAAUAAACCUAAAAAAAACCCAGAAUUAUAAUAUGACCUAGAACCUGGAUCUGUGCACAGGAAAAUUAAAGCAGAUUCACUAGGAGAGCAUUGUGUGCCCAUGUUCACAGCAGUGUUACAGUAGCUAGAAGGCAGAAGAAAAUGUCCUCUGAUGGACAAAUAAGCAUAAUAUGUGUAGACAGACUGAAAUGUUACUAAAAGAAAGGAGAUUUUGAGGCGCUUUGAGACUCUUUCUCCAGAUGAAAUCGGCCAGUCACAGAUGAAUCCUGUGUUGUUUCACUGAUGCAAUGUUGCCAUCAUAAGAGUCAAGAAAGCGGAACAGUGGUUGGCAGGAGCUUGUGGGGGAAAGAGCAAGAGAUAAUAGACCACUUCAGAAAAUUACCUCAUUACUCUUGGUUGAAAAAUAUUAUUCAAUAUUUAGCACAGACUUGACAUUGUUCAUGGACAGCAAGACAAGUUGUAAUCACACAGAUACUUUUUUUUUUUUUUGACAGGGUGUUGUGUGUCCUAGACUCAUCUUGAACUGGUUGUGUGGCAAAAGCUAAGUUUCAGCUUCUGAUCUUCCCAUUUCCUCCUAUGGAGAGCUGGGAGGACAGACAAUGCAGCACCAUUGUUUAUGUGCUGCUGGGUGUGGAACUUGGGCUUUUAUGCCCGCCAGGAAAGCACUAUGCUAUAAUGAGAAAUUUUGGUUUCUUAAAAACACAGAAAUGUUAUGUAAAUGUGUCUUUGUUUCAAUUUCAGAUGUGAUAUAUGGGGCUGCUUUAUAUCACAUCAGGUAACUUCGAUUUGUCUCAGACUGUCUCAGGGGCAUGGUUUUGCCAUCUAGUUUAUGUCUGAAAUCCUGGGGACUCUUCAGAGGCUAUAAAUGCUAGAGCCCAGGGCGGGCCUACAGCAGCUGCUGCUCCUGUUGGCUGUUUGCUGUCUGAUGGGCUACUGGUUGGAGAUAUCCUAACAAUGAAGAUCAAAUUUGCCCCAAGGAACUCACCACCUUUAAUCAGCAGAAAAUAGUCUUACAAUAUCGACACCCCCUUUUCUUCUCUCCUACCUAUUGUUGUGCAGUUAGAAGGGAAAGGGGUGGUGUAGGGAGCUAGAAAAAAAGAACUCAAUAAAGUAGCCAAAACACCGGCUAUACUCUACUCACUGAGCUGACUCUGCAAUGCUAAAUACAGUAUUUCACAAUGAAUGACUAUAAAGGUUUCUUGAGCAGGAUACAAUUUAUAAACCUUAAGCUUCUCACAUAAAUAAUUAAAAAUUAUAUACAUUGAAAUAUGGGAUUGUAAUAAACAAAUACAUUUUUAAAAAAUUAAAAAAGAAAUAUAGGAACAGCUAUGGAUUGACCAAAACCAAGGCAGCUUUGGGAAAAUGGGCAAGCACUUUAAAAAUAAGGACAAAUGAUAGGCAUGGUGAUGCACAACUUUUGUCCCAGCAAUCAGGAGGUGGAAGCAGGUGGAUCUCUGAGUCCGGAGGUCAGCCUGAUCUACAUAGAGAAACCAAGGGGGGAGGGCAGACACAUAAAAAGACUGAGGCAGGAGGAUUGAUGUGAACUUAAGAGCAGCCUUGGCUACAAAGUGAGCUCCAGGCCAGCAUGGAAUGUAUAAAGAAACCCUGUCACAAAAGAAAAAGACAAGAAAUUAGAGAGAUGGCUCAGAGACUGAGCACUAUUCUUACAAAGCACCCAAUUCCAGUUUCCAGCACUUAACGGCAUGUGGCUCACAGCUGGUAACUCUAGCUCAGGGGAUCUGUGUUGCAGGAUAUCUAAUCCCUUUGUGAACCCCAAAAUUGUUAACUGUAAAACCCUGUUUCUUUGGUGUGGCUGAGACCUAUCACACACCUUUAAUCCAAGAACUUCCUGUUUAUUGUAGACUGGUGAUUAUGGUGUGGUUCACCCAGCCCUAGCACACACCUCUAAUCCAAGAGCUUUCUGUACACCUUUAAUGAGGUGAACUCUAGGUCAAAAGGUGGAGCAAGAAACCAGCUGACAGAAAGUAACGAGUAGGAGGGACUUGAGCUGAGGGGUAUUUAAGACAGUGUGGCGAAUAAAGGUCUAUUAGCUUCAGUUCCUCAGCUCUCUGGCUUUUUGAGCUUUGAGCUAUCAAGCCUUUAGUCUGGGUUUUUUGGCCUUUUGCUCCUGGGCUGUCAGCUGAGCUAGUGAGCCUUUUGGGUUUUUUCCAUCCAGACCUGAGCUGAGAAGGAAGGUUAGCUGGUUACUUUCUCUGCCUCUCUGAGCUGGCAGGUUUUCACCCCAGCAUCUAGCUCCUGGGUCUUUAUUGGUAAAAUAGAACAGGUGGGAUUUUCCUUCUUUUAAACAACAGAUUUGAUGCCUCUGGCCUCUGCAAGCACCUUCACACACACACACUUUAAAAUAAUAAAAAUUAAAAUAUUUUUAAAAAAUAAAAGAAUAAAAAAGGUUGAUACAGCUGGGAGGUGGUGGCACACACUUUUAAUCCCAGCAGAGGCACAGGCAGAUCUCUGAGUUUGAGGCCAGCUUGGUCCACAGAGUGAGCUCCAGGAUAGCCAGGAGGAACCCUGUUUCGGAAAGAAAAAAAAAUUGAGAUUAUAGCUCUGUGGUACAGCACUUUCCUAGUGCAUAAUGGUUAUGAGUUUAAUUCCCAGUAUUAAAAAAAAAAAAAAAAAGAAAAAAGUAGGUGGAUCUCUGUAAGGCCAGCCUGUUCUACAGAGCUACUUCCAGAUCAACCAGGGCUACACAGAGAAGCCCUCAUGUCUGGGAGGAAAUGAAAAAGUUCCUGGGCCUCUUCCUUCACCCCCAACAUCCUUAAACACAGGUAGGCUUUAGGCUGGUGGAGGGGCUCCUGGGUUGCUGCUGGGUGCAGGAACCCUGAGCCCAGUCCUGCAGACGCACAGGACUGGUUGUAACCUCAGCAACUAACAUGCAGACUGCAGCAGUAGCUAGGCCUGCUGUGGGAGCCACGUCAAUCAAUGCCUCGUGGUGUUUGGAAAUCGCUACGAAGUGAGCACCAGUGUAAGCCAACACAGUAAGAAAGAGAUAGUUGCCACCAUGUUUAGAAGACACCAGGGUGUUUUUAAAAACUGGAUGAUAUCAUUCUGAAGAGUCAGUGGAACUGCUAACAUGAAAAACAACUGAGGCACGAGGGCUUUAGCUCAGUGGGUAGGGUCUUCACCUAAAGGCCCUGGGCUUAAUUCUCCACCACCUUCUAACCCUAGCACUGCAUUCAACCAUCCCAAAAGGAUGCUCAGCAGCUUCUGGUCCUCUGAGCUACCUGAGUCUAUCUCAAAUCAGCCACCCAACAGAGAUGUUCUUUCCUCAUUCAUCCUGUUCUCACAGGAAGAUAUCAAACCAUACAAAAGCUGAGGUUCGGGUUGUUAGAAGUGGGAGAGCUGAUUCAGGUCAGAAAGAAAGAUGGGUGUGACCUAUGUCCGGCCCUCAGGUGUAGGACCUGCCUAAGCCAGGAUUGCAGCGGCUGGCCCCAGCAGACAGAGAUGUAAUGGGAAGUGACUGCAUGGAAGAGCUUGCCCUGUGCCAGGUAUGUUCUGGGGUUUCUGAUGUUCUUCACAUAAGCUGGCUCCAACUUCUGGCUCUUUCUGCAGUGUCAAGUUGCCUACCUCUUGUGGGCCUCAUGUUAUAAUGAAUACCAACAGUCAGAUGCUUGUUCCUAAAAUGGAUUUGUUUUAUAGGUCCAUGUUGUUAAAAUAACAGCUCUUGGGGAGGAGGGAACAGAGAGCCUGUGUGUGUGUGCAGGCAUUUCACCCGGAAGAGAAAACCCUCAGGGCAGAAAACCAAGAACCUGGACAGACAGAAGGGCUUCCUAGAUCUGAAGCCAUUCUUGAUCAUCCAGCGCUGAAAGACCCAGGUGUGACGGCAGAGCCACCCUCCCAGCCACUGCUGGAGAUGAAGGGCAGCUUUGAGAACAGCAGGGAGAGUGCAGGAGGUCCAGGAGAGGCUAUCUGGGAAAUGCGAUGCCAUUGCAGGACUGGUGUUGAGAGGUCUGCAGAAGCGGGUGCACAGGAAGGUUGCAGAGGGUUUCCCACCAUGCAUAGAUAGCUUCAGCGUCUUCUCCACUCUGUAGGAGCCUCACUGCUCUCACACAAUGUUAUAACAUUUGACACUCAUGAUUUUACCCCAGUGUUGGAGAAUCCAGGACGUUACAGGUCAAGCUUUCCAAAGUUGCCUGUUUUGGCUGGGAAACUUUUAAAAGGUUUGCAAGGGUGAGUCACCUAGUUGACAGCAGAAGGAACACAGUACAGUUUGCUGCCUUCCAAGUCAGUCAUGUCCUAUCUGAAGGUUUUACAAGAAGUUCAUCCUGUUAAACAAAAAUUUAAAAAUCUAGCCUUAAAACAUUUCAUCUUGUUGAGCAGUGCUGGUGCGUGCCUUUAAUCCCAGCACUUGGGAGUCAGAAGCAGAUGGAUCUCUGUGAGUUCAAAGCCAUCCUGGUCUAUAGAGCAAGUCCAGGGUAGCCAGCACUGUUAUACAGAGUUACUUUGUCUCAGAAAAAGAAAAGAAAAAGAGGAGGAGAAAGAAAGAAAAACUAAACAAAACACCCAACCAAAUAAACAAAAAAGACCCCACCAAACAAACAAAACAAACCAUUUUAUCUCUGGCCUCCAAGUAUGUAUAAUUCUGUAAAGUUACGAAGCAGAGCAGCUGUAUCCUUUAAUCUGUACAUAUAAUCUAUGCGUGCAUAUUAAUCUAUACAUAUACCAUAAGACAUUUUCUAAUGAUGUCUUGAAAUGUUACAUAGAUUCUAAACACUAAUAAAUAUGAUAAAUUGUUUUUUACAUAUUUCCCAAGCCUUUUUUUCUAAUACUUUAUCUAUUUUCAUUUCUAUAGUCAUAACUUCCAGUAGUUUAUGCCUCUUCUCCUGCUACAUUACUGUAAUGCCAGGUUCAUGGGACCCUCAGAGACCACCAGAUGACUCCAUGCAAUAGCAAGAGAGCUUUAUUACGAGAGCAAUCUAACUCGGGACCCAAGUCUCACUGAUGCAGCAGUAAAGAAGUGGGACCUCGAGCCCUGAGUGAGCAGGGUUUUUAAAGGGAAAGACUGCAAGCAGGGGGUUUCCAUGACAGCAAGCAGGGGGGCACAUAAUCACAAUUGCCUAAGGCAUAUAAUCACAAUUGCUAUUCUUCUAAACUAUAUCUGAAACACUGGGGAGAUUUUUCCCAGCCUUCCCAACUGAUUUUUAUUGAUUAUUGCCAGGGAGAUUGUCUCUAUUUUCAAUGAAGUAUUUAUUCUGUGAUAUUUCCUGGAGGCUGUUGCUAGGAGAUUUAACUUUGUUUUCUGCCAAGUGUACAUUCUGUGAUAUUUCCUGGUACCUGAAUUCAGCUCCCAGUCAAGAUGGCUCUUUAUUUCAAAACGAAGUCACCCAGACUAACUUAAACUCUUCAUUACCAUUGUUACAUUCUUAUAAAAAGAAAAAGAAGAUGGGUGUGGUGGUGCAGGCCUUUAAUUCCAGCAAAGGCUGAGGCAGGUGGAUCUCUGGGUUCAAGAUCAUCCUGGUCUACAGAAUGAAUUCCAGGACCACCCCAAGGCUACACAGAGAAACUCUGUCUUGAAAAACCAGAAAAUAAUUUUUUCCUGCUUUUGUUUCUUUUCUAAUAAUUUUUAAAAUGUGGAGACUUAUUUGUAGAGUCCUUGAAAUUUGAAUAUAAAUUUGGAGCAUAUAAGGGCUUUUGUUUUUUUGAUGAAAGGUCUCAUUAUUUAACUCAAACUAGCCUAACUGCACUACCUAGUUUAGAGUGACCUUGAACUUCUGAUUUUCCUGGCUCCAAGCUUUCAGAUUCCGGGAUUACAGUCAUGAGCCUGGGAAGAUUUUGAUUAUUGGGACAAUUUACUAUUAAUUAUUUGACUUACUAUCAAAGCCUGUAUUAGAGUUGUAGUUUUAUUAAUGUAUUUUUUGUCAUACUUUUAUAGAAAAAAAUAUUUUCAUUCAUAUUUUAAAUGUAGCUACAUGAUUUUUUGAUGUUUUCAAAAAUUGUUUUGGCUAUACUAAAUCUUUUGCUUCUUUCUCUCUUCCUUCCUUCCUUCCUUCCUUCCUUCCUUCCUUCCUUCCUUCCUUCCUCUCUUCCUCUCUUCCUCUCUCUCUUCCUCUUUCUUUCUGGAGGUGUUUUCCUUAGGGCGGAGGGGGGGAGUUUAAGGGUUUUCUGGGUAGCCCUAGGUGUCCUGCCUCUGCCUCCCAAGUGCGUGGAUUGCAUUCUGCCAUUAAAAAAAAAAUUAAUGUGUUUGAGUAUUUUGCACAUGUGUACCACAUGGGUGCAGUGCCAUGGUGGCGAGGAGAGGACAUGGGAUGCCCCUGGCUGGCACUGGAAUUACCGGCAAUUGGGAGCUGCCUGCCGAAGUGCUAAUUGCUGAACGCUGGUCCCCUGAAGAACAGUACUCACUGCUAACUGCCAACCCACCUCUCCAGUCCCUACCACCAAGUAACACUUUAUUGUGUGCUACUCUGUGGUGUGAUGACAGGUCUUGCUAAAGCCCCGGGGCAGGGCAUGGCUGCCAUACCUCCCUCCACCCAGGGGCGGGGCUUCUCUCCCAGAGACCCUCACUAUAUUACCAGACAUCUUGGUUCUGUUGCCCCUUCUUGACCUCUUGCCCUUCCCACUCUCCCCACUCUUCCCCCGCAAAGCGAGCGUUCCCCUUCCCCCUCUCUCGCUGCUCCCAAUAAACCUGCAUUUAUAUCUUGUAGCUGCAUCUCUCUAUUAGCCCAUUCUGUUUUAUUUAAUUAAUCAGGUGUGUCUUUGCCCCGGUCGCCAUGCAGUUAACCCUGUGAUAUUUGCAUCGGGGUUUUCCUCACUCAGUUAAGAUGCUUUUUGAUCCAGAUGAGAAAGUUGUGGAUUUAUGUCUUCUAACUUCUUUUGCUUCAGUCAGCAUGUCUUAUCAUGUACUGGCACCACGCUGGGGUACUUACUAGUGGAUUAUAAACCACCUCAGUGCCCAUUAGGUAUGCUGUGCUCUACUGGCUCUCAAAAUUUCCUGUCUACAUGCUCAGGGGUGGUUUUCUUAAGGAACUUUUACACCAAAGUAAGCAAAAUAAAUCAAUACAUAUAAAAAGGGACUAUAUUAAAACUAGUAUUUGAGGAAUACAUGUUUAAGGUAAUGAAAAAAUCAGUUUAAUUCAUUAUGGUGUAGAGGAAGGGAAAUAAGAUUACGUGUAGUAAAUGAUUUGGGACACUAAUACUUCUUAGUGAUCAAUUCUUAACUUGUCAAAAAUGGAGUUUUCCAUACUACUUUUCGGGUGAUUAAAAACAAAGAUUGAGGUAGGCAGCUUGUCAAUCAUCAGCCUUUCAGAUUAAACACGCCUGCUGUUACAGGCCUCAGUGGCUUUUGAGGAUGUAACAUGGAGCUCAGCCAGAAGUAGUGGCACCUGGUCACGGUCUGACGUACAGAGAGAAGAUGCUGGAGAACUGAGCCACUUUCUCUUCCCCAGGCCAAGUAGCUCCCUUCUCUGGGGCACUUCUGCUUUUGUUUUUCUAUUUUUCUUUUGAAACCUGAAACACUUUUGCUGAGGUGUAGCAGGCAGAGGCAUCAGAUCGACACCUUUCAGAGCAUACGUCAUUGGGCUGUGGAAAAUGUGUACCAUUGGUUACUCUGCCCAAAUCAAGAUAUGAAUGACUUCAGCCCCUCAGAAAGACUCCUCGGAGCCCAUUACAGUAAGACCCUCUCUCCUCCAUCACUGCCCCUGCCCUGAUGACAGGGAUACUUCAGGUUUUUCAAAUCUCAUGGGUAGAAUAAUGAACGGUAUAUGAUAUGGUCUUUGGUGUGGCCUGUUUCACAGAGCAUAACGCUUUUGAGAUUCAUGUAUUUCUGUCUGGUAGUAGUUUAUUCUCUUUUGUCAAGUACUCUUUUGCAUGAACACAUUGAAAUUUGUUCUCCUUAUCAGUGGGUAGAUUUGUUUAUUUGUUUGUUUUCCAGUUUGGGGCUAUUGUGAAUAAAACUUCUGUGAACAUUUUAA
Meriones unguiculatus (Mongolian gerbil) is the source of this 12972-nucleotide long non-coding RNA. RefSeq lists it as uncharacterized. The record is from RefSeq and is a predicted model, not a curated record. The transcript is spliced from 2 exons. NCBI's taxonomy places the organism in Eukaryota, Metazoa, Chordata, Mammalia, Rodentia, Muridae.